This 298-nucleotide unclassified non-coding RNA is filed under the name uncultured Sebacinaceae. RNAcentral's name for it is "sequence contains ITS2". Lineage: Eukaryota; Fungi; Basidiomycota; Agaricomycetes; Sebacinales; Sebacinaceae. The record is from RNAcentral.
AACGCACCUUGCACCCUUUGGUAUUCCGAAGGGUAUGCUCGUUUGAGUGUCAUUGUACUCUCACUCUCUCUGAUCCUUUGGAUUCAGGGAGUGGUGGACUUGGGUGUUUGCUGCUUCCUUGUGGCUCACCUCAAAUGCGUCAGUGCACCUCUUGAUUGGACAUAGUACGGCGUGAUAAGUAUCUUCGCCGGCACCUCGCAAGAGGGUGGCCGAUUGGGAGCUCUGUGCUUUCAAACCGUCUUCGGACAAUUUCUGACAACUUGACCUCAAAUCGAGUAGGACUACCCGCUGAACUUAA